AAUCCUGGAGGAGGCAGCCGGGCGUAAUCCACAAAAGCGGGAGACAGGACGAAGCCGUUCCGGUUGUAAGAUGAAGAUCUUCGUAUUGUAAAAAUCUGUCCAAGGCGAAGAUAAUGACGUACCNANGNGAANCCCCGGUNG
Molecule: ribosomal RNA, 141 nt
Filed under: bacterium
Lineage: Bacteria
Description: partial 16S ribosomal RNA
Source: RNAcentral